UACGGAGGAUCCAAGCGUUAUCCGGAUUUAUUGGGUUUAAAGGGUGCGUAGGCGGAAUUGUAAGUCAGUGGUGAAAGCCCGUCGCUUAACGACGGAACUGCCAUUGAUACUGCAAAUCUUGAGUACAUUUGAUGAGGGCGGAAUGUGUCAUGUAGCGGUGAAAUGCUUAGAUAUGACACAGAACACCGAUUGCGAAGGCAGCUCUCAAAACUGUAACUGACGCUGAGGCACGAAAGCGUGGGUAUCAAACAGG
This 253-nucleotide ribosomal RNA is filed under the name uncultured bacterium. RNAcentral describes it as "partial 16S ribosomal RNA". It matches the Rfam family "Bacterial small subunit ribosomal RNA", at positions 524 to 776 of the family's 1533-position model. The record is from RNAcentral.